RNAcentral lists this ribosomal RNA (458 nucleotides) under uncultured Methanolinea sp. RNAcentral's name for it is "bacterial SSU rRNA". It matches the Rfam family "Archaeal small subunit ribosomal RNA", at positions 881 to 1338 of the family's 1478-position model. Lineage: Archaea; Methanobacteriati; Methanobacteriota; Methanomicrobia; Methanomicrobiales; Methanoregulaceae. The record is from RNAcentral.
ACAACGGGUGGAGCCUACGGUUUAAUUGGACUCAACGCCGGGCAGCUCACCGGAUAAGACAGCUGGAUGAUAGCCGGGCUGAAGACUCUGCUUGACUAGCUGAGAGGAGGUGCAUGGCCGUCGUCAGUUCGUACUGUGAAGCAUCCUGUUAAGUCAGGCAACGAGCGAGGCCCACGCCAACAGUUGCCAGCAUGUCCUCCGGGAUGAUGGGGACACUGUUGGGACCGCCUCUGCUAAAGAGGAGGAAGGAAUGGGCAACGGUAGGUCAGCAUGCCCCGAAUUAUCCGGGCUACACGCGGGCUACAAUGGUCAGGACAAUGGGUAUCGACACCGAGAGGUGGAGGCAAUCUCCUAAACCUGUCCUUAGUUCGGAUUGUGGGCUGCAACUCGCCCACAUGAAGCUGGAAUCCGUAGUAAUCGCGUUUCAAAAUAGCGCGGUGAAUAUGUCCCUGCUCCUU